GCCCUGGCGCCGCCGGCCGCCGGCCCGGGAUGGGCGACUGCGAGCUGGGGUCUCCGGGUGUGUUGGAUGACCUCUCCGCUGCGGCCCGAGUGGUCCAGAGGCCGUCUCUUUGGCUAAAACAGGUCCAUGAUUAACCGAAAAAAGUUCACAAGCAUAGAAGGGAGAAAUUCUGGGACAUGGAGGGGUCAUGUGCUCUACUCCUGAUAUCUUCCCAGUGGACCUUCCUGCGCCCCACCUGCUGUGUCUGGCAGUCAUUUCCAGAAGAGCAGAACCACCCAGACUAUUCCACAUCUUUGUGCCCAUUUUUCACUCCCUUCUGGCUGUACCUCAAACGAUAUCCAAUAGAUAUGACUUUUCACUGUUCCCCGCUUCAGCUUCAACAAAGGUGGUCGAGGGGGUUGACCAACAUUUUGUUUGCUUAGCAUUAAUUCAUUAAACUGUGAUGCUAUUUUUAAUUUUAA
Long non-coding RNA from Equus quagga, 461 nucleotides. RefSeq lists it as uncharacterized. The record is from RefSeq and is a predicted model, not a curated record. Lineage: Eukaryota; Metazoa; Chordata; Mammalia; Perissodactyla; Equidae. The transcript has 2 exons.